Molecule: RNA transcript, 2396 nt
Organism: Ooceraea biroi (clonal raider ant)
Lineage: Eukaryota; Metazoa; Arthropoda; Insecta; Hymenoptera; Formicidae
Source: RefSeq, a predicted model, not a curated record
AAUUAACGAACACCGCUGAUAAGAAAAAUCGACGGCGCGAGGCCGAGGCGAGGCGAAGCGUUCCGCCGCACACGCUCUCCGCGGAGGGUACGACGGGUCGGGGGGGGGGGGGGGCGAGGGGGAGGGAAUUUUUAGCGGGGGCCGAAUUUUUCAAAAUGGCGCUGCGAAUUCCGCACUUGCGUCCGCUCUCGUUCCCAUAACCAACAAACUUCCACAACCGAGCGGUCCGAGCCGGAGGUCCGCGGGGGUAGGGAAGGGGGCCUCAACGUCCCGCUGGCGCCCAGGGCGUCGAACGAACCGCGCUGACGACGGCGUCGUCCGAAGCGAUUCAGCGUCCUCUCUCUCUCUCUAUCCUGUCGUCUCUCCUCUCGAUGCACGAGCGAGUGCACGAUCCGCCGUGCUGCACGCGCGCACACAAGCUAACGAACGAGUGGUCGGACGGACGAUUAUCCGAGAGUCCUGGCCCGAGAGAGCUCGCGCGCGAACGGUUAGCGUCGUCCCGCAGUCAGUCACCCGCGCUCACUAGCUACCGCUGGCGUCCACGAGCGCCAGUCCGUCGUUCCGUCGGCCAGCCAGCCAGCCAGUCGUCAGUCUCGACCCUCUGUGCUUCUCUUUCUCCUUCUCUCCCUCCCCCCUCUCUCUCUGUCUCUCCUCUCCCUCCCCCCUGUCUCUUUCUCCUCUCUCGUUUCGUCUCUCUCUCAACCUUUGCAACCUAUGCGAACCUUCCCCACCUACACCGAGAGAAAGACACCAACACGACGAGUCACACGUACGUGUGCACGCGCAGUCGGCGGCGGCGGCGAGAUGCGCGCGCGCGCGCGCGCGAAGCUUCCUACGAAGCGCCGUGCAUGCUGGACACGGCGAUGACGAUGACGAUGAUAAUAAUAAUAAUGAUGCGGCAGCGAUGCACCAGCUAUAUGUCAACUACACGACCGAAGAGGGAGGAGGGAGAGAAGGAUGUAACCGAGGGUGGAGACGGGAAGAAGCGAGAGAAACGGCUUUUAGAAGGGAUCAUUGCUGCGUCCGCUCGCGCGAUUUCCGCAUUGAUCGUUCAGCCGAUUUUACCUGAAUAGUUGAAGAUAUGCCGCAUCUUUUAUUGCAUAAUAAAGAAUAACGUAACGCUGUUACGCCAUGGAAAAUAUAUGCGAUAUAUCGUGCACCUUUGAGUUCUUAGAUAAAAAAUGUCGUGUUCUUGUUUCUAUGUCAUUAAUUGGAAUUGCGUUUUUUUCGAGUCGAAAGCGUGAAUGCCUUGAUUGCGAGACAAUUAUUAAUGUUUGUUUUUAACGCUAUAAUCAAGAUUGCACACAAACAACUGUAUGUUUAAAUCUUCAUUAGAACAUACAUGUCGGACAAUCGUCAAUUAAAAGAAUGGUACAUAAUUUCUCAAGUCAGAAUAGAGCUUUCAUAUCCGAGAGAAAUACAUGUAUUGAGAUAAAUGAAUUGCGUAAUUGCUCCGAUUGUUUUCUAGGGUUUGAUGAUCGUAGCGAGCAGUGUCGUGUGUCCAAGGUUGUGUGUGAGUUCGAAACCAAUUUCGGGUUCUCAUCUUGUCUGCAUGACGCUUUUAACUGUUGAAAUCGUUACUGUGCGCUCUGGCGGUACAAACAGUGUUGCCAAGUUUACACGCAAAAUCAAUGCCGUAAUAAAAGUAAUAAUAAAGCCGUGAUAAGCGUGAAUUCCAGUGUGGAAAAUAAUUGUUUCAUUCUACCGAAAAAUAUCAUCAAAAUCAUUAAUAUAAACCUUUGAGUGCAUCUCGCUUCAGAAUUGCAAUUCUAAUCCACAGCUUAUAAAUAACGACCUGUGGAUAAAUAGUUUACACCUUUAUCUUCAAAGAAUAGAAGUAAGAAAAGAUCGAUGAAAGAAAAUUUGAAAUAAAACUCAUAAUUGCAGAAAUGGUUUUAAUCAAUUUAAAAGAGUCAUAAAAAAUGAAGAUUGCUAGUUAACAUUUUUUAAAUUUAAAUUUAAACCAAAGUGGAAAUAAAAGAAUCUCUAAAUUUUAUAAAGCCCAUUUUCUCGACGAGAAGGAGUACGACUUAUAAAAUAUAUACGCAACUUUAUGAGAAGUAACGGAGAAGAUAGCUAACGCGCUGUUGGGAGAACCGCGUUUCUCACGAUUUCACCAUAUCUGUUUAACACGCGUAAUUCAAUCGCCGUUAUACUUUUACCGUGGUUCACGAGUUUAGAAUCCUCAGCGAUGUUGCGCAUCCAACUUUUUCUCUAAUAACAAGAUAAGUAUUCUUGCGAUAAUCCGCCAUAUUUGGAUAAUACAAAGUCCGUUAUCCGUUAUACGUGUCAAACUUCCGAAAAUGUUAUCAAUUCUGAAUUUCAAGAAAUUGGUUAUAAGUAUCGCUUGAAACUGUCAGAAUAAAGAUACCGAAUAAAGAAACUGUGUCAACUAA